GAGUUUGAUCCUGGCUCAGGAUGAACGCUGGCGGCGUGCCUAAUACAUGCAAGUCGAGCGAACAGAUAAGGAGCUUGCUCCUUUGACGUUAGCGGCGGACGGGUGAGUAACACGUGGGUAACCUACCUAUAAGACUGGAAUAACUCCGGGAAACCGGGGCUAAUGCCGGAUAAUACUUAGAACCGCAUGGUUCUAAAGUGAAAGAUGGUUUUACUAUCACUUAUAGAUGGACCCGCGCCGUAUUAGCUAGUUGGUGGGGUAAUGGCUUACCAAGGCAACGAUACGUAGCCGACCUGAGAGGGUGAUCGGCCACACUGGAACUGAGACACGGUCCAGACUCCUACGGGAGGCAGCAGUAGGGAAUCUUCCGCAAUGGGCGAAAGCCUGACGGAGCAACGCCGCGUGAGUGAUGAAGGUCUUCGGAUCGUAAAACUCUGUUAUUAGGGAAGAACAAAUGUGUAAGUAACUGUGCACGUCUUGACGGUACCUAAUCAGAAAGCCACGGCUAACUACGUGCCAGCAGCCGCGG
This 529-nucleotide ribosomal RNA is filed under the name uncultured bacterium. RNAcentral's name for it is "bacterial SSU rRNA". It matches the Rfam family "Bacterial small subunit ribosomal RNA", at positions 9 to 520 of the family's 1533-position model. The record is from RNAcentral.